GUUCAGUCCCCUCGCGACGAAAAGCUGUGAACCCCGUCAGGCCCGGAAGGGAGCAGCGGCAGCAGUGGCUUCGGGCGCCGGGGUGUGGCGGAUCGGG
This 97-nucleotide signal recognition particle RNA is filed under the name Candidatus Competibacteraceae bacterium. RNAcentral's name for it is "signal recognition particle sRNA small type". It matches the Rfam family "Bacterial small signal recognition particle RNA". From Rfam's summary of the family: The signal recognition particle (SRP) is a universally conserved ribonucleoprotein involved in the co-translational targeting of proteins to membranes. Archaeal SRP consists of a 7S RNA and homologues of the eukaryotic SRP19 and SRP54 proteins. Lineage: Bacteria; Pseudomonadati; Pseudomonadota; Gammaproteobacteria; Candidatus Competibacteraceae. The record is from RNAcentral.